UGAGGAAUAUUGGACAAUGGGCGAAAGCCUGAUCCAGCAAUACCGCGUGAGUGAAGAAGGCCUUAGGGUUGUAAAGCUCUUUCAGCAGGGAAAAUAAUGAUGGUACCUGCAAAAGAAGUUCCGGCUAACUCCGUGCCAGCAGCCGCGGUAAUACGGAGGGAACUAGCGUUGUUCGGAUUUACUGGGCGUAAAGAGCGCGUAGGCGGGUUAUUAAGUUAGAAGUGAAAGCCCAGGGCUCAACCCUGGAACUGCUUCUAAAACUGGUAACCUAGAGUAUGGGAGGGGACAGUGGAAUUCCUAGUGUAGAGGUGAAAUUCUUAGAUAUUAGGAGGAACACCGGUGGCGAAAGCGACUGUCUGGAACAUUACUGACGCUGAGGUGCGAAAGCGUGGGGAGCAAACA
RNAcentral lists this ribosomal RNA (402 nucleotides) under uncultured Alphaproteobacteria bacterium. RNAcentral's name for it is "bacterial SSU rRNA". It matches the Rfam family "Bacterial small subunit ribosomal RNA", at positions 355 to 774 of the family's 1533-position model. Lineage: Bacteria; Pseudomonadati; Pseudomonadota; Alphaproteobacteria. The record is from RNAcentral.